GGACUACCCGGGUAUCUAAUCCUGUUUGCUCCCCACGCUUUCGAGCCUCAGCGUCAGAAACGUUCCAGAGCGCCGCCUUCGCCACCGGCCUUCCUCCCGAUCUCUACGCAUUUCACCGCUACACCGGGAAUUCCGCGCUCCUCUCCCGUCCUCUAGCCCGGCAGUCCCCUCCGACUGUUCCAGGUUAAGCCUGAAGAUUUCACAAAGGGCUUACCGAACCGCCUACGCUCCCUGUACGCCCAGUAAAUCCGAAUAACGCUUGCCACCUUCGUAUUACCGCGGCUGCUGGCAC
This 292-nucleotide ribosomal RNA is filed under the name uncultured bacterium. RNAcentral's name for it is "partial 16S ribosomal RNA". The record is from RNAcentral.